Long non-coding RNA from Sapajus apella (tufted capuchin), 164 nucleotides. RefSeq lists it as uncharacterized. NCBI's taxonomy places the organism in Eukaryota, Metazoa, Chordata, Mammalia, Primates, Cebidae. The transcript has 3 exons. The record is from RefSeq and is a predicted model, not a curated record.
ACCCCAAUUAAAAGACACAGACUAGCAAGUUGGAUAAAGAGUCAAGACCAUUGGUGUGCUGUAUUCAGGAGACCCGUCUCACAUGGAAAGACAUAUAUAGGCUCAAAAUAAAGGAAUGGAGGAAUGUUUACCAAGCAAAUGGAAAAAAACAAAAAAAGCAAGGA